RNAcentral lists this non-coding RNA (85 nucleotides) under Ornithinibacillus halophilus. RNAcentral's name for it is "c-di-GMP sequence". It matches the Rfam family "c-di-GMP-I riboswitch aptamer". From Rfam's summary of the family: GEMM was predicted in a large-scale screen for bacterial structured RNA regulatory elements. Genes associated with GEMM are involved in a diverse array of functions, including chemotaxis regulation, signal transduction, secretion and chitin. Lineage: Bacteria; Bacillati; Bacillota; Bacilli; Caryophanales; Bacillaceae. The record is from Rfam by way of RNAcentral.
CGUACGAAAGGGCAAAUUCACUGAAAGGUGAAGACGCAAAACUUUAGGGGCUAAUGUUGAAAAACGAUGCCAGCCAGUUACCGAA